Molecule: ribosomal RNA, 501 nt
Filed under: uncultured bacterium
Lineage: Bacteria
Description: partial 16S ribosomal RNA
Rfam family: Bacterial small subunit ribosomal RNA
Source: RNAcentral
AUUGAACGCUGGCGGCAGGCUUAACACAUGCAAGUCGAGCGGGGAAAAGUAGCUUGCUACUGGACCUAGCGGCGGACGGGUGAGUAAUGCUUAGGAAUCUGCCUAUUAGUGGGGGACAACAUCUCGAAAGGGAUGCUAAUACCGCAUACGUCCUACGGGAGAAAGCAGGGGACCUUCGGGCCUUGCGCUAAUAGAUGAGCCUAAGUCGGAUUAGCUAGUUGGUGGGGUAAAGGCCUACCAAGGCGACGAUCUGUAGCGGGUCUGAGAGGAUGAUCCGCCACACUGGGACUGAGACACGGCCCAGACUCCUACGGGAGGCAGCAGUGGGGAAUAUUGGACAAUGGGGGGAACCCUGAUCCAGCCAUGCCGCGUGUGUGAAGAAGGCCUUUUGGUUGUAAAGCACUUUAAGCGAGGAGGAGGCUACCGAGAUUAAUACUCUUGGAUAGUGGACGUCACUCGCAGAAUAAGCACCGGCUAACUCUGUGCCAGCAGCCGCCGCCG